UUGGGAAUAUUGGACAAUGGAGGGAACUCUGAUCCAGUGACGCCGCGUGAAGGAAGAAGGUCUUCGGAUUGUAAACUUAUUUUAUCAGGGAAGAAAAAAAUGACAGUACCUGAAGAAGAAGGACCGGCUAACUACGUGCCAGCAGCCGCGGUAAUACGUAGGGUCCGAGCGUUAUCCGGAUUUACUGGGUGUAAAGGGCGAGUAGACGGAACUGCAAGUCAGAUGUGAAAUGCUAGAGCUCAACUUUAGAACUGCAUCUGAAACUGUGGAACUAGAGUGCAGGAGAGGUAAGCGGAAUUCCUAGUGUAGCGGUGAAAUGCGUAGAUAUUAGGAGGAACACCAGUGGCGAAGGCGGCUUACUGGACUGUAACUGACGUUGAGGCGCGAAAGUGUGGGGAGCAAACA
RNAcentral lists this ribosomal RNA (405 nucleotides) under uncultured bacterium. RNAcentral's name for it is "bacterial SSU rRNA". It matches the Rfam family "Bacterial small subunit ribosomal RNA", at positions 355 to 774 of the family's 1533-position model. The record is from RNAcentral.